This 454-nucleotide ribosomal RNA is filed under the name uncultured Paludibacter sp. Its description in RNAcentral is "bacterial SSU rRNA". It matches the Rfam family "Bacterial small subunit ribosomal RNA", at positions 341 to 792 of the family's 1533-position model. Lineage: Bacteria; Pseudomonadati; Bacteroidota; Bacteroidia; Bacteroidales; Paludibacteraceae. The record is from RNAcentral.
ACGGAAGGCAGCAGUGAGGAAUAUUGGUCAAUGGACGGAAGUCUGAACCAGCCAAGUCGCGUGCAGGAUGACUGCCCUAUGGGUUGUAAACUGCUUUUAUAUAGGAAUAAAAAAAUCUACGUGUAGAUUAUUGUAGGUACUAUAAGAAUAAGGAUCGGCUAACUCCGUGCCAGCAGCCGCGGUAAUACGGAGGAUUCGAGCGUUAUCCGGAUUUAUUGGGUUUAAAGGGUGCGUAGGCGGGAUGAUAAGUCAGCGGUGAAAGUUUGUAGCUUAACUAUAAAAUUGCCAUUGAAACUGUCGUUCUUGAGUGCAAAUGAGGUAGGCGGAAUGUGUUGUGUAGCGGUGAAAUGCAUAGAUAUAACACAGAACACCGAUUGCGAAGGCAGCUUACUGGGAUGCAACUGACGCUGAGGCACGAAAGCGUGGGGAUCGAACAGGAUUAGAUACCCUGGUA